GCUUGCAUCAUGAUUUACAUUUGAGUGAGUGGCGAACUGGUGAGUAACACGUGGGAAACCUGCCCAGAAGCGGGGGAUAACACCUGGAAACAGAUGCUAAUACCGCAUAACAACUUGGACCGCAUGGUCCGAGUUUGAAAGAUGGCUUCGGCUAUCACUUUUGGAUGGUCCCGCGGCGUAUUAGCUAGAUGGUGGGGUAACGGCUCACCAUGGCAAUGAUACGUAGCCGACCUGAGAGGGUAAUCGGCCACAUUGGGACUGAGACACGGCCCAAACUCCUACGGGAGGCAGCAGUAGGGAAUCUUCCACAAUGGACGAAAGUCUGAUGGAGCAACGCCGCGUGAGUGAAGAAGGGUUUCGGCUCGUAAAACUCUGUUGUUAAAGAAGAACAUAUCUGAGAGUAACUGUUCAGGUAUUGACGGUAUUUAACCAGAAAGCCACGGCUAACUACGUGCCAGCAGCCGCGGUAAUACGUAGGUGGCAAGCGUUGUCCGGAUUUAUUGGGCGUAAAGCGAGCGCAGGCGGUUUUUUAAGUCUGAUGUGAAAGCCUUCGGCUCAACCGAAGAAGUGCAUCGGAAACUGGGAAACUUGAGUGCAGAAGAGGACAGUGGAACUCCAUGUGUAGCGGUGAAAUGCGUAGAUAUAUGGAAGAACACCAGUGGCGAAGGCGGCUGUCUGGUCUGUAACUGACGCUGAGGCUCGAAAGUAUGGGUAGCAAACAGGAUUAGAUACCCUGGUAGUCCAUACCGUAAACGAUGAAUGCUAAGUGUUGGAGGGUUUCCGCCCUUCAGUGCUGCAGCUAACGCAUUAAGCAUUCCGCCUGGGGAGUACGGCCGCAAGGCUGAAACUCAAAGGAAUUGACGGGGGCCCGCACAAGCGGUGGAGCAUGUGGUUUAAUUCGAAGCUACGCGAAGAACCUUACCAGGUCUUGACAUACUAUGCAAAUCUAAGAGAUUAGACGUUCCCUUCGGGGACAUGGAUACAGGUGGUGCAUGGUUGUCGUCAGCUCGUGUCGUGAGAUGUUGGGUUAAGUCCCGCAACGAGCGCAACCCUUAUUAUCAGUUGCCAGCAUUAAGUUGGGCACUCUGGUGAGACUGCCGGUGACAAACCGGAGGAAGGUGGGGAUGACGUCAAAUCAUCAUGCCCCUUAUGACCUGGGCUACACACGUGCUACAAUGGAUGGUACAACGAGUUGCGAACUCGCGAGAGUAAGCUAAUCUCUUAAAGCCAUUCUCAGUUCGGAUUGUAGGCUGCAACUCGCCUACAUGAAGUCGGAAUCGCUAGUAAUCGCGGAUCAGCAUGCCGCGGUGAAUACGUUCCCGGGCCUUGUACACACCGCCCGUCACACCAUGAGAGUUUGUAACACCCAAAGUCGGUGGGGUAACCU
This 1387-nucleotide ribosomal RNA is filed under the name Lactiplantibacillus plantarum. Its description in RNAcentral is "bacterial SSU rRNA". It matches the Rfam family "Bacterial small subunit ribosomal RNA", at positions 66 to 1441 of the family's 1533-position model. Lineage: Bacteria; Bacillati; Bacillota; Bacilli; Lactobacillales; Lactobacillaceae. The record is from RNAcentral.